UACGUAGGGUGCGAGCGUUGUCCGGAUUUAUUGGGCGUAAAGGGUGCGUAGGCGGCGCGGUAAGUCGGAUGUGAAAUCUCGGAGCUUAACUUCGAAACUGCAUUCGAUACUGCCGUGCUUGAGGACUGGAGAGGAGACUGGAAUUUACGGUGUAGCGGUGAAAUGCGUAGAUAUCGUAAGGAAGACCAGUGGCGAAGGCGGGUCUCUGGACAGUUCCUGACGCUGAGGCACGAAGGUCAGGGGAGCAAACGGG
This 253-nucleotide ribosomal RNA is filed under the name uncultured bacterium. RNAcentral describes it as "partial 16S ribosomal RNA". It matches the Rfam family "Bacterial small subunit ribosomal RNA", at positions 524 to 776 of the family's 1533-position model. The record is from RNAcentral.